AGUGGGGAAUAUUGCACAAUGGGCGAAAGCCUGAUGCAGCGACGCCGCGUGGAGGAUGAAGGCUUUCGGGUCGUAAACUCCUGUCUGGGGGGAUGAAUACUGACAGUACCCCCGGAGGAAGCCCCGGCUAACUACGUGCCAGCAGCCGCGGUAAUACGUAGGGGGCAAGCGUUGUCCGGAAUUACUGGGCGUAAAGCGCGCGCAGGUGGUUUGUUAAGUCAGAUGUCAAAGUUCGGGGCUCAACCCCGUAUCGCAUUUGAAACUGGCAGACUUGAGUGCAGGAGAGGAAAGUGGAAUUCCUAGUGUAGCGGUGAAAUGCGUAGAUAUUAGGAGGAACACCAGUGGCGAAGGCGACUUUCUGGACUGCAACUGACGCUGAGGCGCGAAAGCUAGGGGAGCAAACAGGAUUAGAUACCCUGGUAGUCCUAGCCGUAAACGAUGGGUACUAGGUGUUGGGGGUGACAAUCCUCCAGUGCCGCAGCUAACGCAUUAAGUACCCCGCCUGGGGAGUACGGCCGCAAGGUUGAAACUCAAAGGAAUUGACGGGGGCCCGCACAAGCAGCGGAGCAUGUGGUUUAAUUCGAUGCAACGCGAAGAACCUUACCAGGGCUUGACAUCCUCUGAAGCUGCAAGAGAUUGCAGUGUCCCUUCGGGGCAGAGUGACAGGUGGUGCAUGGUUGUCGUCAGCUCGUGUCGUGAGACGUUGGGUUAAGUCCCGCAACGAGCGCAACCCUUAUUCUUAGUUGCCAGCACUUCGGGUGGGCACUCUAAGGAGACUGCCGGUGACAAACCGGAGGAAGGUGGGGAUGACGUCAAAUCAUCAUGCCCCUUAUGUCCUGGGCUACACACGUGCUACAAUGGCCUGAACAACGGGCAUGCGAAGGAGCGAUCCGGAGCAAAUCCCUUAAAUCAGGUCCCAGUUCGGAUUGCAGGCUGCAACUCGCCUGCAUGAAGUCGGAGUUGCUAGUAAUCGCGGAUCAGAAUGCCGCGGUGAAUGCGUUCCCGGGCCUUGUACACACCGCCCGUCACACCACGAAAGUUUGUAACACCCGAAGCCGGUGAGCUAACCGCAAGGAGGCAGCCGUCGAAGGUGGGACAGAUAAUUGGGGUG
RNAcentral lists this ribosomal RNA (1111 nucleotides) under uncultured bacterium. Its description in RNAcentral is "bacterial SSU rRNA". It matches the Rfam family "Bacterial small subunit ribosomal RNA", at positions 353 to 1482 of the family's 1533-position model. The record is from RNAcentral.